CAGUUGUGUAAUGGAGGUGGCUGACUGUCCUACGGGUUAGCUUUUCUUACUCUGUGAAAAGGAGUGCCUCUUAAAUAUGUAGAGACUGUUUCACAAUCAUCAUAACAUAGUCAAUACUGCAGGCCUCGGUGACUCCCCACCUAGGCAAUGCUAUGCCUUAUCACCCACAGAGGCAGGCUUCGGUCAUCAUUCGGACAUUGCACUGUGCUGUAUAAUUCAGGUGUGGUCCUUAAUUUUAUAAAACCUAGCAUUUCAGAAAAGCCAUCACCCCAAUUAACUUAGCAGUCUUAAGGAUCCCUAAAUACUCAC
Molecule: long non-coding RNA, 309 nt
Filed under: Homo sapiens (human)
Lineage: Eukaryota; Metazoa; Chordata; Mammalia; Primates; Hominidae
Description: HSALNT0099840
Source: RNAcentral